GACGAACGCUGGCGGCGUGCUUAACACAUGCAAGUCGAACGCUGAAGCACCAGCUUGCUGGUGUGGAUGAGUGGCGAACGGGUGAGUAAUACGUGAGUAACCUGCCCUUGACUCUGGGAUAAGCCCGGGAAACUGGGUCUAAUACUGGAUGCUACAUGUCACCGCAUGGUGGUGUGUGGAAAGGGUUUACUGGUCUUGGAUGGGCUCACGGCCUAUCAGCUUGUUGGUGAGGUAAUGGCUCACCAAGGCGACGACGGGUAGCCGGCCUGAGAGGGUGACCGGCCACACUGGGACUGAGACACGGCCCAGACUCCUACGGGAGGCAGCAGUGGGGAAUAUUGCACAAUGGGCGAAAGCCUGAUGCAGCGACGCCGCGUGAGGGAUGACGGCCUUCGGGUUGUAAACCUCUUUCAGCAGGGAAGAAGCCACAAGUGACAAUACCUGCAGAAGAAGCGCCGGCUAACUACGUG
RNAcentral lists this ribosomal RNA (470 nucleotides) under uncultured bacterium. Its description in RNAcentral is "partial 16S ribosomal RNA". It matches the Rfam family "Bacterial small subunit ribosomal RNA", at positions 28 to 507 of the family's 1533-position model. The record is from RNAcentral.